Long non-coding RNA from Trichomycterus rosablanca, 2374 nucleotides. RefSeq lists it as uncharacterized. The transcript has 7 exons. NCBI's taxonomy places the organism in Eukaryota, Metazoa, Chordata, Actinopteri, Siluriformes, Trichomycteridae. The record is from RefSeq and is a predicted model, not a curated record.
UUAUGCAUGGGUGAUUAAACUUUUUAUGAAUUUGUAAGGUUAUGUAUAUUUCUCUAUUUGUUUUGAUAAAUACUUAUCAAGCAGGGGGUUUCUAUGAAUAGCAUAUAUGACAAAUGUGAUUUUACUCUGCUGUGUUGGUUCAGUGAACCAAGCAUCCUGAAUUCUUCCCUGAUAGGACUGGGCCUUUGACAUCACUGAAAAAAAGAAAUAGAUUCUGGGAAGGAGGUUUCAUCCGAGUAUCCCUGAACAUUUGUCUGGAAGCACUCAUCCUGUGACAUCACUAAAAAAUCAUAAUUUGGAUUUCGAUGGUCAGCAGGUGGUGGUGGUGGUAUUGGUGGUGGUGAUUACCUGAGCUGUAAAGGAUACGAGCUUGGUGCUGUGUCCAUCCUCUGCUCACAUUUGGGACCUCACUGCCUCGGAUACUUUUUAGAAGUUUGGCUUUGUCUGUGUAUGGAGGCCACCAUGAUAUGCCCUCAUGGUACCACUCUGCUGCCACCGGGCUUGUUGUUCCCUCAUCCACAAAUUCAACCAUUCGCGAUACUGACUGGCUGUUUGGAUGGACCUGGGAAGUGGACCACAUGCAUGAACUUUGUAUAAUCCCAUUCUUUUCCUAUUUCGAUUCAGUUUUUUGGGCCUCUCUGACAGUCUUCUAAUGACCUGACUGAGUGGGAAGCCAGGUUUUCUAAUUAGCUUUUUAAUCUGGUGAAGGAAAGAUUCAAAUUUAAAUGCACUGAAAUUAUCGAGUGCACCAUGUAUUUUUACAUCUUGUGCCAAGUGAACAAGGUUGUGUACAUUGUAAGACAUGAACUUUUCCCCAUAGAGCUCUUGAAAGUGUUUCACAAAUAAAACCAAAAUGUCAUUAGCAUACUCAAGAUGGUCUCGGAGUAGCUGUUUGCUGGAUAAAAUGAACACUCCCACAAAAAGUAGAAGAAAGUUUUGGUAUGCUGUUGUAAUGAGUGUGCUAUUUAAAAGAACAGGCCCACUGUACAACAAAAACUGCCGGAACUCAGUAGCUUUCCACCUGUCUAACUCUCUUACAGACCUUGGUUGUCGCGAGAAUUCCAAGGGAACAUUUUUACGGAUUUGCUGAAGUCUGCUUGAAAGGUUGUCAACAGUAGAGGCAGGCAGUCUGCAGGACAAAGGACCCCGUAGCCACAACAAAAGGAGCCUGCGCAUAACACCAAGGCACACAAGUCUCCACCAUGGUUUGUUGUGCUGCCUGGAGAUGCUCCUGUCGCUCAGAGUGACUGACACACAUCUUAACAUUACCAGAGAUUACACCAACAAAAAUGAGGUUUUGGCUCGAAUCUCAGCAUGUACAACGGACAUCAUCUUAUGGAGCAGCAGCUUAAGUUGUCUUCAACCUUCAAAAGUUCAAACACAUCACUUCCCUGCUGUGUACCCUUCCCUGGCUUCCUGUAGCAGCCUCCCCUUGAGUGAACAGCAGAAUGACUGUCUUAGAACAGAGUCAAACUUAGGAGAGUCUCCUAAAUUAUAGAAAAGCUCUUAGUGCUGCUAGAGCAAAAUAUUUCUCCUCGCUAGAAGAAAACAAAACUAAUCCUACAUUUAAUACUGUAGCAAAACUAACUAGGAAGACCACCACUACAGAAGCAUCCACACCAUCAGUAUUUAGCAGCGACAACUUUAUGAAUUUUUUCAGUGAUGAAGUUGAAAACAUAUGGCACAAAAUUAAUACUAUUAAUCUAAACCUGAGCAAUCUGAUGACAAACCAACUAGAUGUCAGUAUAGUUACAUCAGAUCAGCGUUUAGAGUCUUUUAACCCUCUCCGUGAGACCAAGUUAAUUUCACUAAUUUCUUGAUCAAAAUCGACAACAUGUAUACUAGAUCCCGUACCCACAACUUUCCUAAAACAGAUACAACUCUUUUAAAAAAGAUCAAUUCAUCUCUUAGUACUGGCUAUGUCCCUAAAUCAUUUAAAGCAGUUAUCAAACCUCUGGCAAAAAACCUAACCUAGACCCCUGCCAGUUGUCUAAUUACAGACCGAUAUCAACCCUCCCCUUCAUCUCCAAAAUCCUAGAAAAGGUUGUAGCACAGCAGCUAUGUUCAUACCUGCAUAGAAAUAACAUUUGUCAGUCAGGGUUUAGGCCUCAUCAUAGCACAGAGACAGCGCUGGUUAAAGUUGUGAAUGACCUGUUACUGGCCUCUGAUCAGGGUUGUGUCUCCCUGCUUGUACUGCUUGACUUAAGUGCAGCUUUUGACACCAUUGAUCUCCUUUAUAGGCUAGAAAAUAUUGUUGGAGUUUAGGGAACAGCCUAUUUGAGUGACCGUUAUCAGUUUGUAGAUGUAAAUGGUGAAUAUUCUAUGCACAGUAAGGUUAAGUUUGGUGUUCCACAAGGUUCUGUUUUAGGCCCAU